This 275-nucleotide ribosomal RNA is filed under the name uncultured bacterium. Its description in RNAcentral is "partial 16S ribosomal RNA". It matches the Rfam family "Bacterial small subunit ribosomal RNA", at positions 334 to 605 of the family's 1533-position model. The record is from RNAcentral.
UUUUCCUACGGGACGCAGCAGUGAGGAAUAUUGGUCAAUGGGCGCAAGCCUGAACCAGCCAAGUCGCGUGAGGGAUGACGGUCCUAUGGAUUGUAAACCUCUUUUGUCGGGGAGCAAGGCCCGCCACGUGUGGCGGGAAGGAGAGUACCCCAAGAAAAAGCAUCGGCUAACUCCGUGCCAGCAGCCGCGGGAAUACGGAGGAUGCGAGCGUUAUCCGGAUUUAUUGGGUUUUAAGGGUGCGUAGGCGGCAGGGUAAGUCAGCGGUCAAAUGUUGG